GACGAACGCUGGCGGCGUGCUUAACACAUGCAAGUCGAACGGAAAGGCCCUGCUUUUGUGGGGUGCUCGAGUGGCGAACGGGUGAGUAACACGUGAGUAACCUGCCCUUGACUUUGGGAUAACUUCAGGAAACUAGGGCUAAUACCGGAUAGGAGCUCCUGCUGCAUGGUGGGGGUUGGAAAGUUUCGGCGGUUGGGGAUGGACUCGCGGCUUAUCAGCUUGUUGGUGGGGUAGUGGCUUACCAAGGCUUUGACGGGUAGCCGGCCUGAGAGGGUGACCGGCCACAUUGGGACUGAGAUACGGCCCAGACUCCUACGGGAGGCAGCAGUGGGGAAUAUUGCACAAUGGGCGGAAGCUUGAUGCUGCAACGCCGCGUGCGGGAUGACGGCCUUCGGGUUGUAAACCGCUUUCGCCUGUGACGAAGCGUGAGUGACGGUAAUGGGUAAAGAAGCACCGGCUAACUACGUG
RNAcentral lists this ribosomal RNA (468 nucleotides) under uncultured bacterium. Its description in RNAcentral is "partial 16S ribosomal RNA". It matches the Rfam family "Bacterial small subunit ribosomal RNA", at positions 28 to 507 of the family's 1533-position model. The record is from RNAcentral.